Astyanax mexicanus (Mexican tetra) is the source of this 2138-nucleotide long non-coding RNA. RefSeq lists it as uncharacterized. The record is from RefSeq and is a predicted model, not a curated record. The transcript has 4 exons. NCBI's taxonomy places the organism in Eukaryota, Metazoa, Chordata, Actinopteri, Characiformes, Acestrorhamphidae.
UAAGAACAAUAUAUUACCCCUUUUGAACCCUGCAUACAUUAGAAUAAACAUAUUGCAUUAUCCUUAUUUUUAAAUGUUUUGUUGCACAUAACACUUUUUGAAAGAUGUGAGAGAUAGACCAUGAACAAGCCAAUAAAAAAGUUUACAAACCAAUGAAACAGUAACUAGGCCCCGCCCACUGCACUGGAAAUAUUUUAUUUUAUUUUAUUUACUUGCUGUAUAGAUUUUAUAGUAGAAUAUUUGAAUCUUCUUUUCUGUGAACUACAGACAGAAACUCACAUUCUUACAUUUCCUUUUCAUCACUGGAGACAACUCAAGGGCUGAAAGGGUUAAAUGUUUAGACCAAUAUGGUCAAUAUUUAUUGAGCUAUGCUAUAACAGAAUUAGUGUGUUACUCACAUAAGUUGCAUACCAACAUGACAAUGUUGAUCCACAUACUGUUGCCAUGAGCUUUUCUUAUACACUGUAACCAAUUGCUGUAUUUUUUACAGUAAAACCAUACAGUAAAUAACUGUUUAACGAUUUUCCAUUGUAAAACUGUAGAACGCAAUGCAUCAUGGGAUGCCCUACAAAUACAACUGCCACCUGUGUAUUUAACCAUAACCUACUGGGGGCAAAGAGGCAGUUCUGUUUUCCCCUGGAAAGAAGAAGUUUCCUCAGGAUUUACUGCUGUUCUUGAGCUCACCCACCUGAGGAAAACUCCAAGAACACCUGCAUUUAAGAAUUAAGUUCUGUUCUUCGUUCAGAUGUCCAAAGUCCAACACCUGCAGACGUAUCAAGAAGUCUAAGGAAUAGCCAACCCACCAUCAGUACACCAAGUACAUCCAGCCCAAAUGACAGAUCCAGAGUAAUAGAUCUUAGUACUUGGCUCGACAAGUUUAAGGUCCCAUGGAGCAAGAUGCCCCAAGGAAUAAAACUCUCGAUAAAUGCACAACAGCGGCCUACUCCUCGAGACCGUCGGGAGAUGAUAAGUCAUUGUAGACGAAAUAAGACUUAUUGAGCCCAAUCCUACUAGAUCAGACUGCGUUACAGUCGCCAAGAUGGUUGUUAAGGAAUAUCCAGAAAGUUUUGCAGACAUUCUAAAAGAUGGCACCAGAAUUGGAAGUGGGUUUGCUUCACUGGUGAACCAGCUAAAAACGCGAGUUGAACACCUCAACCGUAACAGUGUAAUAGGAAGGCGCAGAAGGAUGAAAGGACACUCCAGUUCACCAACUACAAACCGAGCAAAAGGGCCAUCGGACCAAUAUGGGUGCAUCAGAUGGCAACCUGAUUGUCCUCAAGGGGAAACUGAGUCAAUUCUGAAAGAGAAGCAGGAGGAAAUGAAAGAGCUUUAUGCUCGUGAGGGUCCAGCAGCAGCAGAGAGAGGGCACAUUACUCAGCUCAUGGAGAGGACCUACUACUUGCAACGAAAAACCAUCAAUGCAAGUCCAGCCCCAUCUAUUGUGGAGCUCAAAACUGGCUGGCCAUUUCUUUUUACACCAAAAGAAAUUUAUAAUCACUUUAAGCUGUUAACUGACAUCUCUAUCCUUGAAAAAAUUACUGAUGCAAUUGAGCACAGAGGGAAGAUGAUCGUUAACUUUUUUCGCCAAAAACCAACAAAUGAAGUCCAGCAAAUUCUGUCAAGGUCGAGCUACCAUACUGGCACCAUGUGUUGUCCUCCUGCUGAUGGCACACUUCAAAGAACACUCUGAAGCACUGAUUUUACAAGUUGAUGCCACAGCCACACCAGCAGAUGUGGAGGAAUCAGUUUUACCAGACUCUCCAAGAUUGAUUGUUCAAGAUGUUUUGUGGGAAUCAACCCAACCACUGGCUCUAAGACAUCUACUGAGCAGGUCCUGAGCAAAAGAAGUGGAAAGGUAGUGGAGAAGAAAAAACACUCCAUGAAUGUCAAAGUUUGCAGCCUUCUAAGGAAAUUAAUGGACUUCGACUGGCUUUGCAUGUCGGUGUAAAUGUUGUCUUCAGCAUACUACUGCAUAAUGUGAAAAUGUUUAUUUAUCUUCAUGAUUAUUACAAAAAGACAAAAUGUCAAAUUUAUGUUUAACAUUUUUUGUAGUUUUGGUAUGUACUAGUAGAUAUGUUUGCCUAUUGACUGCGUGUAAGUUGGUUGUAAAUCUAAUAGCAUACAGUACUUGUCACAAG